CAAUGGCGGUAAACAAAGGGAUGCAAAGCCGCGAGGCAGAGCGAACCCCCAAAAGCCGUCCCAGUUCGGAUCGCAGGCUGCAACCCGCCUGCGUGAAGUCGGAAUCGCUAGUAAUCGCGGAUCAGCAUGCCGCGGUGAAUACGUUCCCGGGCCUUGUACACACCGCCCGUCACACCAUGAGAGUCGGGAACACCCGAAGUCCGUAGCCUAACCGAAAGGAGGGCGCGGCCGAAGGUGGGUUCGAUAAUUGGGGUGAAGUCGUAACAAGGUACC
This 273-nucleotide ribosomal RNA is filed under the name uncultured bacterium. RNAcentral describes it as "partial 16S ribosomal RNA". It matches the Rfam family "Bacterial small subunit ribosomal RNA", at positions 1228 to 1500 of the family's 1533-position model. The record is from RNAcentral.